Centrocercus urophasianus (Greater sage-grouse) is the source of this 841-nucleotide long non-coding RNA. RefSeq lists it as uncharacterized. The record is from RefSeq and is a predicted model, not a curated record. NCBI's taxonomy places the organism in Eukaryota, Metazoa, Chordata, Aves, Galliformes, Phasianidae. The transcript is spliced from 3 exons.
CCCUCGACAGAUGACUCGGGAAGUCCCAGCAGAAGGCAACAACUGCAUCAUCUGCCUUGAGCCUGUGGGGGACAGCUUGUCCUACCACACCACGGUGUGUCCAGUGUGCCAGCGUGCCUGGUUCCACUGGGCCUGCAUCCAGCAACUGGCACUGAGUGCUGGCACGAACUACUUUGAUUGCCCCGGCUGUUGAGACUACAGUGGAUUCUCUGAGGAAAUGUACAUCAUGGGGAUCCACAUCCCACGCAGAGACCCAGAAUGGGACAGCUAUGAGGCACAGGAACACAGGCUCCAAGAGAGGCACAGCCGCUGCAAUGCCAGCGAAUGCCUUUACCAUGGAGGCAGAGAGCAGGCAGAGAGAAGGGGGUGAGUUACCGCAGCAGCUCUCUGGGGCUCAGCGGGAGAUCUCAGCCUCACCACAGGCUGGGAGAGCAAGGACUGAGCACCAGAGACGUGCCGUGCAGGGCACUCCCUGGCCCUCCCGAGUUCCCAGAGCCGGCCAAGAGGACACCAUGGCAGCCGGCAAACGCCAGCCCCAGGGGAGCUGAGUGGCACCCACAGAUCAACAAGAUCUGCCACUUCGAGCUCCCCGAGGCCUUCCAGAGUGCCCGGACGCAGGGGACCAUCCAGGCAGCGAGGGCGCACCCACACCCAAAGCCCUCCUCCACAGAGACGCUGGGCUCACCAUUCCCACUGCUCACCCCAAAGAGGCAGCGGGAGCCGGGCCCAAUGGCGGAGGCUGUCCCGGGAAUGAAGCUGCUCCCAGGAACAACUUCAGAGCCAAAGGUCCCCACGGACAGCCCCCGAGUCUACGUACGAGCAGUCGUGUGCCACUCACUGA